RNAcentral lists this long non-coding RNA (417 nucleotides) under Ananas comosus (pineapple). Its description in RNAcentral is "long non-coding RNA (ACOM_LNC023478)". Lineage: Eukaryota; Viridiplantae; Streptophyta; Magnoliopsida; Poales; Bromeliaceae. The record is from RNAcentral.
UAAAAAUAAUUUGCUUGAAUUAAAUUUAUAUUUAAAAUUUAAAAAUUAAAUUAAAUUUAAAUAAAAUUUUAAUUUUAAUUUUAAUUUUAAAUAUAAAUUUGCAAAUUUGAAUUUAAAAAUUGUGUUGAAUUUGAAAUUACAAGUCGAAUUCAAAAUGCAAAAUUAAAUUUAUCAAUUCAAAUUUAAAUUGAAAUUCAACUCUAAAAAUAUAUUCAAAAAAUAAAGUUAAAACCAAAUAUAAACUUUUAGAUAAAUUAUUCACGUUCAAUAACUUCAGAAUUUUUUAAGCCAAAGUUAAAAAAGUGAGAUUUAGUUAUAACUCACUUUUUUAAUCCACUAUUGUGAAGUGAUUUUUAUAUUCACUUUCGCAAAUCAAAUGGCCGAUAAAAUAGCAUUUUCUGAAAUUCCGUAUUUUAU